RNAcentral lists this long non-coding RNA (3933 nucleotides) under Marmota monax (woodchuck). Lineage: Eukaryota; Metazoa; Chordata; Mammalia; Rodentia; Sciuridae. The record is from RNAcentral.
GAAAUCAGAAAAGGCUGAAGAAUACACAUGUAGGAGAAGAGCAUGAGCAAAGGUGACAAAUGCUACUACUUUUAGGUCAAUAUGAUGGCAAUUUGACAACACAAAGGUCAUUGGUGUAAUGUCUGGGACCAAUCUGAUUGGACCUGCUUUAAGAGGGAAUGGAAAGAGAGAAGAUGAGGAUAGAAAAGUCACUCAAGAUUUGUUGCUACAACAUGAGAGCAAAGUAACUGGGUAAUAACAGCAAGUAGGUAAAGUGUAUUCAAGAGAAACUGUACAUUUUAUUUUAUUUUAUUUUAUACUUAGAUUGGGAGAAACAGCCUAUUUGUAAUCUAAUGAAAAUGACCCAAUGGAUGACAAAAAUUUGAACGCGUAUGUGAGACAGGAAAGAAUUACAAGAGCAAAGUUCUUGAGGAGAAAAAAAAUGGGAUGAAAUUUAAUGCACAGAGAGAUUGGUUUUACAUAAGAAUAAGAAAAAUUAAUCUUCAAGGCAUAAAAUCAGGUGCAAAUGCUGUAGGUGUGUAGAGAUGUGAUAGGAGUAGGUGGAAAUUGUGUUCUUGCAGUCUCUGCUCCUCAUUUCACCUUGUUCGUAUAUUUUUCUUGACUUGAUGUUCUAACUUUUGGUGUAGUAAACUUCAACAGUAUUUUCCUAUAGAAUUUGUAAUUCUUAUACUUUUCAUUAAAAAGGCUUUCUUUGAUAAGAUGAAGAUGUUUCCUUCAUAUGAUUAAGGCUUGAUAUGAUUAAGAUUUUUCCUUAUUUUUUAUUAUAGAAGUUUUGCUUUUAUAUUCAGUCCUCUAUUUGACCCAAUUAUAUUGAGAAUAAAAAUUAUAAAAAUAGGAGAAAUAAAGUAUUUUAAUUCUAACUUCAAAAUUUAAAGAUAUAUUUGGGAAUAAUUAACAUAUUAAUACUUUGUAUCCUAACAAUUAAUCGUAGUAAGUCUUUCCAUUUAUUUUGGCUUAAUUUUAAAAGUAAAUUCCUGCAAAUAUUUUGUUAAAGUUUUUUAAGUAUGCAAGUGUCUAUUAAUACUGUAAAUGGUAUAUUUUUACAUGUAUUUUAAAUAUCUGAUUAAAUGUACCAAAGAUGGAAGAGUACAAUUUUUAAAAAUUAUUUUUAACCAACUACUUUCUUUAAACCUCCUAUCUUUUUCCUCUUGAAUGACUCCAAAGACAGAAGCCUUCACUUUCAGAGUACUUUCAGUUGAAGAAAUAAAUUUUAUUUCUCAGUAAUUACAAUUGCUUUUAGGUACUAAAUUGAUGCAUCCAUUAGAGUCCAAUUUAGAAUUUAUGAACUAUUUAUUUCCCUAGCUCACAGAUGAAGACCUUAUGUAAUACUUAAUUUGAAUUGUCAACUUGAUUGCAUUAAGAGAUGCCGAUGAUUAAGUGGCUUAUGGGUAUGUGAAGGAAGGUGUGUCUAGGAAUGAUGGGCACCUGGGAUAGCAACUGAAAUGGAGACCCUCUCUAAGCCUGGGCAGCACUAUCCAAUAGGAAAAUCGCUUGGAUGGAAUAAAAAUUGGAAAACCAAGAAAGAAGCAGCAGAUGCAAGCUUGAUUAUUCUUGAAUGUGUUCUUGAUUGCCACUGCAGCAAUCGUCUAAGGAUAUUGGAUUCUCCCUUCUUCACUCUUCCAAAGUGGACUCUUUGACUGCAAUUCUCCAGAAACCUUCAGUCUCAGACUAGGGUAGCACCUUGAUUGCUCUUGUUCUAGGCUUCAACCUCUUGGACUGCACCACUACUGGUUCUUCCUGCUCUCCAACCUGCAGACAGCCACUGUGGACUACCCAGCUUGUAGUCAUGUAAGCCAAAUCCCCUAUUUAUAAUUAUAUUUCCUACUGAUUCUGUUCCUCUAGAGAACCCUGACUAAUACACAUGGAUUAGUAGAUUCUUUCAUUGUUCCUUCUUUUUUAUUAUUUUGCCAAUCUCUGCAACUUCGUUGCCUGUCCUUCUCCAAUUUGUGUGUUAUAUCAAGGCAAAAAUUGAACUAGGCAAAGCUAAACAUUCAAGAAAAACUUUUCCCAUGACAGAGUACAGGGAAGAGACCAAGAACUGAGUCUGAACUCAAACAUCCCUCAAACAAAGGGCUGGAGAUUUUUUAAAAGUUUAGGUGGAAGAAUGUUAGUCCACAAGUGGUUGCUAAUUAGCUUUGUCCAAAGCAAAAUCCACUUCCACUUAUUUUCCUGAUGCAUAGUUUUACAAUAGGCCCCCAUGGUAGUUAAUUCUCCCAUAGAAACUGGGAGACUAGGACUCAGUCUUCUCUAAUGAUUACAAUUUAAAAAGAUGACCCCUAGGCCCAUGAGAGAGACAUUUCUAGGAUAUGGAAACUCAGGUGGCUUUUAGAAAGAUUUACAUCUCAAAAGAACAAAGAAACAAUUUAUACUUACAAGUAUUCUAAAUUAAAUAUUUUUGGUAAAAGAGGUCUGGGGCCUAGAGUUAAGAAAAAGCCUUUCUCAAGUUCACUCAAACCAAGGGCAAUGUCAAAGCCCUCUUUGCUAUGGGUAUAUAAUCUUUCCUCUGCCUUAACCAAAAUUUCAAGUUAACAGUAAAACCCUGCUUUUCCCCUAGAAAUUUUUCUGAGAGUUUUUCUGCUGUUUAGGAAUGCAGUUGACUUUUAUUUGAGAAAAUUUGUGGAAGUCUUAUCAUAUUUUAUUAUAUAUGCUUAUAUAAUACAUUUUUAUAUUUGCAUUUAUAUUUAAAAAUGAAUAAUGUAGUUUUAAAUUUUCAAAUAUCCAUUUUAAUUUUUCUCUUUAUAUAUACUAAUUUUGCAUAUUUCUACAAAUGUGGACUCCAUACUAUUUCAUAUUAGGUAUUACACACAAGCAAAUCACAAGAGUGUUUCUUUCUGACUUUUAUCACUUUUAUUUUUUCUCAUUUUUAUUUCUCUGCUCCAAGGGCCUCCCUUACAAUAUUUAAUACAAACACCAAUGGAAAGCAUUAUUUUCUGCUGCCUGACUUAAAAGGGAAUGCUGCUAAUAUUUCACCUUUAAGUAUGAAAUCUAAUGUAAGCUUUAGGAAGAAUUCUGCCAGGAAAAGAUUUUAUCUGUAUAUGCUUAUUUUAAUAAGAGAUUUUUAUCUAAAAGUGAAUUAUAUAAAAAAUUCUCCUUGUAAUGGGUUUUUAAAUACAAUAUUUAUAAAUCAAAUGUUAAACCAAAUUAGCAAUGUUGUUGUGUACUUUCUUCUUUUAGUUUUUUAAAGCAUUUAUCAUUCAAGAUGAGCUAGAAACUCAUUGACUCUUCCAGUACUUUCUAAAUGUUAUUUUUUACACUUAAAUAUUUAAUGCCUAUAGAAUUUAAUGUUCAUGAAUGCUGUGUCAUAUGAGUAUAGUAAUUUUCCUGAUUUGCAAUGUUGUUUGAAUUGUCAGCAGCAUUUGGUAUUAUGCUAGCACUUUUUUUUUCUCAGCACUGUUCUUUAUGAUAUAAUGAUGAUGAUCAUAGACUCUGGUGCCAGAAAAAUCAGGCUCAAAAUUCAGAUUCUCUAUGCUUGGCUCUGUGUCAUUGGUGGAUAUUUAACUACUUAGUGUCUAUUUUACUUAGCUGUAAAAUCGAGGUAAGAAUAGUACUAUAGCAGGUAACAUGGUAAAGAAUCCCCAUCCCUACCCCAGAUUCUUAUCCUCCUGACUGUUCUGAUGCCAACCUAGGUACUGCUAUAAAUGGACUUUGCAGAUGAAAUUUGCUAAGAGCCACAGCCAAGAAAUAUGAUGCAUGGCAUUUUUGGUUGAAAGGUGACACCAGCAAGCCAUUGAGAUGAUAUGAUUAUGUUAAGAUCUGCAUUCAUAUGGAUAUUGGACUCCUGCUGUCCACCUUGGCCUGCUACAGGACUCCUGGAGAGUUCCCAUUGGUUGGGGAAGUGCGGUAGGAGAGAAUUCCGGAGGAGGGACUUCCUAUUGGGGCCGGGGAGAACGCCGCAUGGGUUGGUCGACAAUCUUCCCGGCAGCAUACGGGGCA